RNAcentral lists this ribosomal RNA (1015 nucleotides) under Mycotypha indica. Its description in RNAcentral is "LSU rRNA". It matches the Rfam family "Eukaryotic large subunit ribosomal RNA", at positions 38 to 961 of the family's 3401-position model. The record is from RNAcentral. Lineage: Eukaryota; Fungi; Mucoromycota; Mucoromycetes; Mucorales; Mycotyphaceae.
GCAUAUCAAUAAGCGGAGGAAAAGAAAAUAACAAUGAUUCCCCCAGUAACGGCGAGUGAAGAGGGAAGAGCUCAAAGUUGGAACCUGUUUGGCUUAGUCAAACCGGAUUGUAAACUGGAGAAGUGUUUUCCUGGCACGCCAGACUGAUAAGUCCUUUGGAACAGGGCAUCAUAGAGGGUGAGAAUCCCGUGAUCGGUCUGAGCUGUUGUCUUUUGUGAUACACUUUCAAAGAGUCAGGUUGUUUGGGAAUGCAGCCUAAAUUGGGUGGUAAAUCUCACCUAAAGCUAAAUAUUGGCGAGAGACCGAUAGCGAACAAGUACCGUGAGGGAAAGAUGAAAAGAACUUUGAAAAGAGAGUUAAACAGUAUGUGAAAUUGUUGAAAGGGAACCGUUUGGAGCCAGACUGGCUUUGUCGUGAUCAAUCUGGGUUUCGACCUUGAUGCACUGACGACAGACGCCUGCCAUCGACAGUUUUGUUUGGAGGAAAAAACUAUUGGUAAUGUAGCCUCUCGGGGUGUUAUAGACCUUUAGAAAAUACUCCGGAUGGGACUGAGGAACGCAGUGGAUGCCUUUGGCGAAAUUGCUAGGCGCUUUUGUUGAUACAUGCUGGAAUUUCUGCUUCGGGUGGUGCCAGUGUCUAAAGAUAAAACUCGCUUGGUAUAUUUUCUAUCCACUUAGGUUGAUGGCUUAAUGACUCUAAAUGACCCGUCUUGAAACACGGACCAAGGAGUUCAUCAUAGGUGCAAGUAUUUGGGUGCCAAACCCAUAUGCGCAAGGAAACUGAUGGAUAUGAAACCGUAAGGUGGCAAUAUCACCCAGCGAUGAGGCUAUUUGCCGAACUGACUGAGGUAAAGCACUUAUGCUGAGACCCGAAAGAUGUGUGAACUAUGCCUGAGUAGGGUGAAGCCGGAGGAAACUCCGGUGGAGGCUCGUAGCGAUUCUGACGUGCAAAUCGAUCGUCAAACUUGGGUAUAGGGGCGAAAGACUAAUCGAACCAUCUAGUAGCUGGUUCUGCG